This 369-nucleotide ribosomal RNA is filed under the name uncultured Glomeromycotina. RNAcentral's name for it is "LSU rRNA". The record is from RNAcentral. Lineage: Eukaryota; Fungi; Glomeromycota.
UUGAAAGGGAAACGAUUGAAGUCAGUCGUGCUGGCGCGAAAUCAACCUUCUCGUCUUGAGAUCACAUGGCGUGGCGAGCCUCAAAACCGUCACGAAGCGUGAACUCUUGGUGAAAUGGAGCACUUUCGUGUCCGCUGGUUAACAUCAAUUUCGAACGUCAUAAAAAGGCUGGAGGGAUGUGGCUCCUUCGGGAGUGUUAUAACCUUUAGCGGAAUGUGGUGUUCGGGAUUGAGGAUUGCAACGAGUACCUUUAGGGCUGUUCCACCUGGCUUCUCUUUGGUAUCCUGGUGACGACAGCUUGCUGACGUCGUUAGGAUUCGCCUUUGAACAGGUUAGAGUGUGAGCAAAUUCGUUAAGGAUGUUGACGUA